Molecule: ribosomal RNA, 509 nt
Filed under: uncultured Salmonella sp.
Lineage: Bacteria; Pseudomonadati; Pseudomonadota; Gammaproteobacteria; Enterobacterales; Enterobacteriaceae
Description: bacterial SSU rRNA
Rfam family: Bacterial small subunit ribosomal RNA
Source: RNAcentral
GUGCCAGCCGCUGCGGUAAUACGGAGGGUGCAAGCGUUAAUCGGAAUUACUGGGCGUAAAGCGCACGCAGGCGGUCUGACAAGUCGGAUGUGAAAUCCCCGGGCUCAACCCGGGAACUGCAUUCGAAACUGUCAGGCUGGAGUCUUGUAGAGGGGGGUAGAAUUCCAGGUGUAGCGGUGAAAUGCGUAGAGAUCUGGAGGAAUACCGGUGGCGAAGGCGGCCCCCUGGACAAAGACUGACGCUCAGGUGCGAAAGCGUGGGGAGCAAACAGGAUUAGAUACCCUGGUAGUCCACGCUGUAAACGAUGUCUAUUUGGAGGUUGUGCCCUUGAGCGUGGCUUCCGGAGCUAACGCGUUAAAUAGACCGCCUGGGGAGUACGGCCGCAAGGUUAAAACUCAAAUGAAUUGACGGGGCCCGCACAAGCGGUGGAGCAUGUGGUUUAAUUCAAUGCAACGCGAAGAACCUUACCUGGUCUUGACAUCCACAGAAGUUUUCAGAGAUGAGAAUGU